This 465-nucleotide ribosomal RNA is filed under the name uncultured bacterium. RNAcentral's name for it is "bacterial SSU rRNA". It matches the Rfam family "Bacterial small subunit ribosomal RNA", at positions 28 to 507 of the family's 1533-position model. The record is from RNAcentral.
GAUGAACGCUGGCGGCGUGCCUAAUCAAUGCAAGUCAACGGGGAGUAUUAAUUCGGUUUUUACUCCUAGUGGCGAACGGGUGAGUAACGCGUUGGUGACCUGCCCCGAAGCCGGGGGAUAACAGUCCAAAGGACUGCUAAUACCCCAUGUGGUCGUACAGGUUAGAGGCUGAACGCUAAAGGAGCAAUCCACUUCCGGGAGGGGCCUGCGUCCCAUCAGCUAGUUGGUAAGGUAACGGCCUACCAAGGCGAUGACGGGUAGGGGACCUGAGAGGGUGGUCCCCCACACUGGCACUGAAACACGGGCCAGACACCUACGGGUGGCAGCAGUAGGGAAUAUUGCACAAUGGGCGAAAGCCUGAUGCAGCAACGCCGCGUGCGCGAAGAAGGCCUUCGGGUUGUAAAGCGCUUUUCUGGAGGAAGAGGAAGGACGGUACUCCAGGAAUAAGGAUCGGCUAACUACGUG